CAUCCUCUGUGGAAUGACAAUGAUGGCAGAGAGAGGGCGCCACAAACAGAGUAUAAAAGAGAGAACUAAAUGAGACGGUGUGAUAAACAAAAGGGCAGAUACAGAGAGAGAACCCCGGGAGAAGAGAGAGAUACAGAGAGAGAUAAUGGGAGUUUCAGAGACUAUUGGAAGGCAGACAGAGAUAAGGGGCAGUUAAUCUAAUGUAAGGAGCUUUCAGAGGUACAGAGGGUGAGUGGGGCACGGUUGUCCGGCGGCGCAGGGUGAGUGGGCCACGGCGCAGGGUGAGUGGGCCACGGCGCAGGGUGAGCGGGAGGACCCAGACGAGCUUGAUAUGUAGAGACAUAUGUAAAGCACACGUAUGUAAACCCUCUGCGGGUAUUAUCUGUAGACUGGCAUAUGCCCGAGGUAUGUACACGUGAUGCAGCCUGCAUGUGUCACGCGUGUCCUGGCAGAUCACGCACUUCAGUCACGCCCCCUCCCCAUAAUUACA
Molecule: long non-coding RNA, 490 nt
Organism: Spea bombifrons (plains spadefoot toad)
Lineage: Eukaryota; Metazoa; Chordata; Amphibia; Anura; Pelobatidae
Exons: 2
Source: RefSeq, a predicted model, not a curated record